RNAcentral lists this small nuclear RNA (162 nucleotides) under Echinops telfairi (small Madagascar hedgehog). RNAcentral describes it as "U1 spliceosomal RNA (ENSETEG00000020948.1)". It matches the Rfam family "U1 spliceosomal RNA". Rfam says of the family: U1 is a small nuclear RNA (snRNA) component of the spliceosome (involved in pre-mRNA splicing). Lineage: Eukaryota; Metazoa; Chordata; Mammalia; Afrosoricida; Tenrecidae. The record is from RNAcentral.
AUACUUACCUGUCAGGAGAGAUACCAUGAUCACCAAGGUGGUUUUCCCAGGGCGAGGCUUAUCCAUUGCACUCCGGUUGUGCUGACCCCUGCGAUUUCCCCAAAUAUGGGAAACUCGACUGCAUAAUUUGUGGUAGUGGGAGACUGAAUACGAGCUCUCCCC